GAUUAAUAGGGACAGUCGGGGGCAUCAGUAUUCAAUUGUCAGAGGUGAAAUUCUUGGAUUUAUUGAAGACUAACUACUGCGAAAGCAUUUGCCAAGGAUGUUUUCAUUAAUCAGGAACGAAAGUUAGGGGAUCGAAGACGAUCAGAUACCGUCGUAGUCUUAACCAUAAACUAUGCCGACUAGGGAUCGGACGAUGUUAUUCUUUGACUCGUUCGGCACCUUACGAGAAAUCAAAGAGCUUGGGCUCCAGGGGGAGUAUGGUCGCAAGGCUGAAACUUAAAGAAAUUGACGGAAGGGCACCACCAGGGGUGGAGCCUGCGGCUUAAUUUGACUCAACACGGGGAAACUCACCAGGUCCAGACACAAUGAGGAUUGACAGAUUGAGAGCUCUUUCUUGAUUUUGUGGGUGGUGGUGCAUGGCCGUUCUUAGUUGGUGGAGUGAUUUGUCUGCUUAAUUGCGAUAACGAACGAGACCUUAACCUGCUAAAUAGCCCGUAUUGCUUUGGCAGUACGCCGGCUUCUUAGAGGGACUAUCGGCUCAAGCCGAUGGAAGUUUGAGGCAAUAACAGGUCUGUGAUGCCCUUAGAUGUUACUGGGCCGCACGCGCGCUACACUGGACGGGAGCCAGCGGAGUACUUCCCUUGGCCGGAAGGCCCGGGGAAUCUGGUAAUCCUGCAC
Molecule: ribosomal RNA, 678 nt
Filed under: uncultured fungus
Lineage: Eukaryota; Fungi
Description: SSU rRNA
Rfam family: Eukaryotic small subunit ribosomal RNA
Source: RNAcentral